UUUUGGGUUGGCCAAUCUUUUCUCCCUCGAAAACGAGGCGCAUCAGCACGUGCAACCUUAGCACGUACAUGACUCCCAUCUAUGGUCCCUAAACAAUCUUAAUGUAAACAAAAAUUCAUAACUUUAAUUAAACACAAACUAAAGAAGACAUUACACAUAAUUUCAAGUAAUGUUAUUAUCAACAAACCUUAAAGUAGGGGAAAAAUCGACUGUUGUUAAGAAUGUGUGGUUCUACAACCGUUCCAUUUGGUUGAAUUAAGAAUUCCCCUUCCAACCUUAAAAUUGCACUCAAAAUAUUAUGAAAGUGACGGGAAACUGUUUCUCCAGACCGAUGGAAAAAGAAUGACACACUUCGAUUCUUCACAUUAUGCCCAAUAAUGUGGAGAAAUUUCGCUACUUGUUCUUCCACAGUUGAUCGAUAUGCAUCUUUAACAAGUCCAGUUUCCCGUAUUCGUUCACAUAAUUUAAUGAAAGCUUCCGGUCCCAUGCGAAUAAUGUGACGAGAUUGUUCAGUGUGAACCAAGUACUCCAUCAAUUCUUGUCUGCGACGCUCUUUUUGUGGUUGGGACUGACUGAUACAGUUGCUUGUAGUAGGCAUUGUGCGUAACAAUUUCAAUCCAAAAGCAAUCAUACAAAGAAUCAUGACUGAUGCACCUUGAUUUUUUUUUUAUUUGUUCUUCGAUUUGUGAAAUUAAAUUCAUGUUCGCCGCAACAAGAUCGUCAUAAAUUGCAACUGUUUCCUCAAAGUGUACCAUCUCUGCCUCGUCAUAAUUUCUUUCCGAAUUCAUACCGAACGCGGUUACCGUAUCGGUGUAAAAGUACACCAAUACAGUUACCCUAAAACGUACUUUUAAUUAAUUUUAAUAAAAAAUUAAUAAAAAUUACUAUAUCAUUCAAUAACAUAAUUUAAUCAAACAACAAAUAAAUAUAAACAAAUAAAAUAAAAAAACCUAAAAUUUCUAUUUCUACUUCUAAAAAUAUUCAUUUUAAAUACAUAAAUUUUUUUCUUUGGUAAUAAUUUAUUUACAAUCUAAAAUAAUAUUAACUACAGAUUAUCAAAUUUUAUUUGGAUUAUGUAAAAAUAUUAUUUACAAAUAAAAUAUUAUUUCUUAUAAACAAUUUAAUUUUUAAACACUAAUAACUAUCUACAAUUAUUAUUACAACCAACAUUAAUUUACUUACUCCUUAACAUAAUUAACUAAACUAAAGUCUAAACAAAUUAUAUUACAACCAACAUUAAUUUACUAACGCCUUAACAUAAUAAACUAAAAUAAAUUCUAAACAAAUUAUAUUACAAAACCAUAAUCAUUCAAACAUAAAUAUAAAAGAGAAAUUAAAAAAAAUAACUUUACAUAAAAAUUUAAAAACCUGAAGAUAAGCACUCAAGAACAGCAAUAGGGAUGACUUAUAGGAUGAAGAACACACCUGAAAACAACUUAAAACAAAUUAAGAAACAUUUCUAUUUCACAAAUUUUACAACAUAAUCGAUUAUUCCAUCACUUAUGUACACAGGAUAAUCGAUUAUCAACGUAUGACUUACGAAUCUCUCCAACUACACACUCUAUGCUUCGCUUUCUUUGCUUAUCUGUGAAUGGAGGAACCAACUUCAUGCACCUUCAUCGUUUUAUAAAGAAACCAGGUUCCACACCUACCUCACCCACUUCAUUGAUGACCUUUCAAACUUUCACAUGGUCAAACGAUUCCUGAGCCAAGUCAGGAAUCUGAUGCUUUCAUGUGGCAUGCAUGCAGGGCCACUGUUCUUUUUUAUUCCAGCACAAAAGGAAGGGCAAGAUUGUAAGUUCGUGUGGAUGACUUGGCACUCACAUUCCACAGUGCAACUUUCUCUUCAUCUAAAAGGAGAAGCACAAUUCACUCACCUUUCUCUUUCCUUCCACCCUCAACCGCAACAAUGCAUGGAUCCAAACGGGGUGGUGUUGUGACUUCCGUCGUCGACAACAGUACCACCCCUGGAUGCAAACGGUGCCUUCAUCUGAAAGGAGAAGCACAAUUCACUCACCUUUCUCUUUCCUUCCACCCUCACCCACAACAAUGCAUAGAUCCAAACGGGAUGGUGUUGUGACUUCCGUCGUCGACAACAGUACCACCCCUGAGUCCAAACGAUGCUUUAGUAUCUUGAUAUGCUUUUAGAUGUCAUUCAUAAUAUUGACCUAUUGUCCUUUUCCUAGAAUGAUGAUUAGAAUCAAAUGACUAUGGUAGUUCUACUGCUAACAAUGUACAACUAAUGCCACAGUAAAUAGAAGUAAGACCCAAAUAUUUCUUCUUGAUUCAGUUCUUAAAAGAAGAUUUUACAUAUAGAUUAAUGUGAUAUAAAAUUAAAAUUAAAUAAAACCAAUGUAUAAGAGUUUGGUUUGGAUGAUUUUUACUGUGUUAUAUAAAGUUAUUUUGUAUCAUUAUUAUUAUGGAAUUAUUAAAUAUUUUAUUAUGAAAAUUUGUCAUAAAGAAAUUUAUUGUGAACUAUUUUUUGAUUAGUUAUAUGAACUAUCUUAUUUUAUUCUGUCGCCUUAAGUUCUAAAUAAAUAAUACAUUAGAUAUAAAUAAUAAUUGAUUUAAAAUAUGUAAUUAAUUUAUAUGAUAAUAUUUGAGUAUCUCAACGGGGAAAAGUUUACAAGUCUUUUAAAUUUAAAAUCUAACUUGUGUUACAUGGUUCAACACGAUAUUCCAUUUUAAUUCAUUUGUCAUUAUAAUAUAUUGUGAGUGUUUUGAAAAUAAUUAUAGUUUUUUCUGUCAAACUUUAUAAUAAUUAUUACUCAUGACAUUGAUAUACUUAUUUAAAAGUAAUUACUAUUUGAGAUAAUAUUAAAAUAUCUUAAUAAAGGACUUUUACAGAGCUCAAAACAACAAGACCCUUGGACUUAACGUGAUUUAUUUUUGUUAGUUGAAAAACCAAGUUAAAAGGUAAACCCCAAAAAUAUUUACCCAUCCACGAGUUCCUCCACAUAUAAUGGCACACGCAAAACUGGUUACUCAUGUGUCUAUAAGUGGUUACUUAUGUGACGUUUAUGACCUACCCACUCUUUAUGAAAAAAAAUUCAAUUUUUUUUAAUAUGGGUCAUAUAUUACAUCGGUUAGAUGACUUAACCGAUGUAAUAUGGAUCAUUUUGAGUAAAAAAAAAAAUAUAUUACACCGGUUGUUUCUAAGAAUCAAUGUAAUAUAUUCAUUUUUACCCUAUUUUGAAGCUGGCAUUGCUCAUUCACAUAAUCUCACUCUGUCACGUCAUUGUCACGUCUGCAGUGUUAAAUAUGUGCUAGUGUCAUAGGGGUGUCAAUAUACCAAGACUCUUUUGUUUAACACCCCCUCCCCCAGCACACUGUAGCAAAUGAUUAUAGGGUGACACGGUUUAGUGUAAAAAUUCAGAAUUCAAUCCUUUGGGAGCCGAAUUCUAAAUGUCCUUACCAUUUUAUUUUUCUUCAUAAAACCAAGUGGGAUUUGGUUAUUGGAAAAUUAAAUUCUAUGUUUUUUUUUCUUUUUAUUUUAAAAAACAAGGGAAUAAAAUUUAUAAAUUAAAAAAAAAUUACUCAGAAAAGUAUUUUUUUUAGAAAAAGAUAGAAAAAUGUUUAAUUUUGAAAAAUAAUUCAUUUAGAAAAUUAAUUAUUUUAAGAAAUAAUUAUAUGUUUAAAAAUAUUAAUCUAUAAAACUAAAUAUUUAAAAAAUAUUAUUUAUAAAAAUAAAUAUCUUAAAAAUAAUAAUUAGAAAAGUAAUUAUUUUAAGAAAUAUAUAUUUUUAUUUUUUUAGAGAAAUAUAUUUAUAAAAAUAAUUAUAAAAAAAGUAUAUGUUUUGAAAAAAGUCUUAGAGAAAAAGUAUGUGUUUCAAAAACUAAAUUUUAGAAAAAGAUAUAUUCUGAAAAAUAUUUUGUUAGAAAAAUAUUUUGACAAGUGGUUAUUUAGUUGUGUUAUUAACAUUUAUUUUAUAAAUAACUAAAUAAAUUUUGUAGCUUACAGAAAAUGUAAUGCCUAAUCUAUAAAGUAUGAAAUAUCAAUAUAUUAUUUUUUAGUUAAAAAUAGAGAAUGAGGAAAACUUAGAAGUAAAUAAAAUAAGUAAUUAAAAUGUAAAUGAUAGUUAACAAUUUUGUAAAUAAUAAUAAAAUUCUACCUCAGAUUAAUAACAAAAAUAUUUUUUUUAUUGUUUAAUUAUAUUUGUAACCAAUAAAAAGUGGAUAAACAAAAUUUAUGUUUAAUAAAUAUGAUGGAAGAGAUUAGAAGAUGUAUUUUUGGCAAAUUCCUCCUCCACCUCCAUCCAUUCCCAUUCACCUUCAUUUUUUUUAAUUUCAAUAAUAUCCUAUAAUGGAUAGUGUGAUGUCUUUUUUUUUUUUCAUUUUCCAGUGGUGAUGGUUGCUUGUGAACGUUGGUGGUUGAGGUAAGUUUUAUGUCUUCGUUGCUUAUUUUUUUUCAUUUUUUGGAAGUCAAAAAAUCUAAAAGAAAAUCCAGCGAGGUGCAAAACUAGAGUACAAAACUAAAAAAAAUUAUUUUUGUACUAAGAACGUCAAAUAUAACAAAUUUUCUUAUUAAUCAUCUCACACACACUCAAACAAUAAAAUUGUUCCCUCAAACGUUGUAGCUAGAGAAGAAUGAAAGUUUGCAACUGGAAAAGAAGUAUGAUGGUGCAAUGAUACAAGUUAUUUAUAAACAUGAGGCUAUGCUUCAUUUAGGAUUAUUUAAAGUUUUUAAAAAUGUUAAAACCGACUUUUACCAAUUAAUAUGGAUGUGUAGAAGCAAGGUACAGAGUUAUGUAUUUUUGUACUUUGACUUGGAAAUCUAAAACAUUUAAGUACAAAGUUUUGAUAGUUUGAUGUUUGAUUAAAAUUAAUAAUAAUAUACAUAAGAAUUUAUAUAGAAUUAAAGAAGUAAAUAUAUAUUACUUCCAUAUAGAAAUUAGUAAUAUUUACACUAAUGAUAACUUAGUCAUGAUGUAGUAAUUACAUUUAAAUAAAUCAUCUUGCCUAUUAGACAAAAAUUAAAAACAAAUUAUAAAAUUAUAUGGGUUACGGGGUCAACAACAUAUUAUCGGGUCAGCUCGUAGACCAACUAAUUUUUUAAAUAUGAAUUGUUUAGCAUUUUCUUAGUAAACAAAAAGAAAAUGAAGCAUUGUCGUUCGCAUGAGAACAUGACUAAAAAAAAAUCACCUCAGAAGAUUCACUACACAGAUUAAUUAACAAAUAUAAUUUCAAGAUACAUAUUUAAUUACAACCCAACCCUUUUUACUUUCUUGAAAGGAGCACCUAACCUAAGCUCUAAGUUUUAGAACAGCAUGUCAUUCAGAAAUCUUUUGCUCUAAGAGAUACAAAAUAAUCCUAUGUAUCCUACCACCUUAAAAAGAACUAAGAAAAUAAUUGAAAUACUUGGAAAAUUAUACCACAUGCUCCUGCCAAUCUCCCUUGUUCGGAAUACUUGAAAACCAAGACACUUUUUCCACGAACUCUUCCUCCAAAGUUUAUGCAAGGUUCUCGUAGGACAACUUCAUAACUAAAAGAUCGGUGCAGAUCUCGUACUCUGAAUAUUUGAGCUUUCGUUGGUUGGAGUAGUUCCAAAAUCCAACGAAUGUGCGGUUAUGAUCGUUCGGAAAAGUGCAAAAAUCAACAUACUAGCUUCUUUAUCUUGUAAAACAAUAAAACGUAAAACAGUAUAAAACAAUACUAAAACAAACUAAACUCCACACAUGAAACUCAUGUGUGAUGAAAAAAGGUAUGAAACUAAAAAAUUCUCAAACUGGAGAACUAUAUAUACUAAAAACUUGGCUCCAAAGCUCCAAAUUUCAAAUUUGUUCCGUCCGGUUGACUGGGACGUCUUCGUGCGCGACCUCAACCGUCAGCUAGGGACUCCUUCCCACUGGUUACCUAUGGAUUCCUGCAAAAAGAGGACAAAAGGGCGCCCUAGCGGCCGUUUGCACUCCGACGCUCAAGUCAGCCAGCAAGAAACACCAAAACUGGGCACCUCCGUAUCUGAGCACCGCGUAUGACACUCUGAAGGUGGUAAAAAGAACUGUGUAUUGUGUGUAUAUUCUCGCUCUGGCAAACAACCUCUUUUCCAGUCCCUUGUGCGUAGCCUCACGACUUCGAGCAAGCAACUGGAGUGUAUUCUGGGAAAAUUUGCCAAAACUUCCAACCCCGUUCCCAACAUUCCCGGCGCUAUUUAAACUACCCAAGCAUUUAAAGCGCUUUUAAUCACAAACGUAACGCGCUCAAUUAGGGCGUCUAAUUAGAAAACGUAGCGCAUUUUGGGACGUUUCUACGUGUGAGUCCUCCUGCCUGGGAGUGCUACUGUGCAAGGGGUGACUUUUUGGGUGCCAACUCAUGCCCCCAAUCAUCUAGUCACUCACUUUGAGAGCGUAUCUGCCUUCCUCUCGUACCCUGCACCCGGCUACCCUGGACGUGACCUUCCUCUUGAGUCGUAUCUGUCCCAAAGGCGUCUCUGGGGCGGCAGGGGUACUUCACGAGUCAGGCUGCCCUACACUGGUGUUGUUACUAUGGCCUUGGAGCCACCUUUCUCUUCUCUCUAUCACUCUCCCGGAUCAUCGGGACCUGAGGCCUUCCCACGGCGUCGCUCCCUCCAUGGUCUUUCCUACCCAUGGGUCUCGGGGAACCACACUGUGAUUGCCUUGCUUUAGUAAUGUUUGAUCUGGCGACGCCCUGGUUGGGCGACGCCUUCACCUAGGCAACGCCUUGCCUUGGCGACGCCUCUUCUUGACGACGCUGGCACUUGGCGUCUCUUUACCUAGGCAACGCCUUGUGUUGACUUUGACUCUUGGUGUUGACUUUGACCUUGACUUAGUCAACACCCGGAUACGGGACGGUACAAAAUUUAUACAGGCACAUGUUUUCUGCACCUCUCUGUUUACUGUGUUCAUUGUGUAACUCAAAACGUAAAAAAGUGCUUUUAAGAACACUGUUAGCAAAAAAAGCUUUAAGAAAACUAUCCAUAUUAGGAAAAGAUGUAACAUAAUGUCCUCAACCGAGAUCAUCACAUGACAAAUUUAAAAAACUUAAUCAAUGAUAAUCAUACAGAAAAGAAAUCGAUUAAACUCCUACAACAUAUGUCCAGACCCCAAAAAAACUCGAAAACCGAAAGUUUAUGAAAUUGGAAAGGGGUUAAAAACCCUAAAAAGCUCUGGCCAAAACAUUUUCAUACGCCAAUCAAGAAAAAUCUUAGUGCGAAAGAUAGAGGAAGAAACAGAAACAUUAACCAAAGAACGACAUAAAAUAAAAAACUUAGAAACUAUGUAUCACACUUUCGGUAAAAGACGUAGCAGAAAAUGCAAUGUUUCUUUGCCAAGCGUACAAAAAUAAGGAAAAAAUCUUCUCUCAGUGUGGUUGAAGAUAGUGGAGCCAUUUGUAACAAAAACAUUAGUAUAGAUUAUAGGGUUUACUGUAGUCGACGAGAUGUCCCAGUGCCACCUCCGUUUGGUUCCAUAGUUGCAUGCGGGUGCGAAAGGAGAUGGUGAGAAAGUAGAGGGGGUAGUGGUUCUUGUGAGGAAUGAAGAGAAAGGAGAGAGUAGUGAAGGAAAAGCCACGUCACAAUUGAUUAGUUACCAAUCUACCCUUCGUUUUUUUUUUCAUUUCUUCUUCACGUGGGUGCCUUUAUACAACGACAAAACUGCCACUGCCAUGCACUUUUGCACUGUUUACGCAUGGCAUGAGAUUCCUGACUUUAGUUCAGGAAUCCUUUGACUAGAUAGUGCAUUUGAAUGACAUGAAUGUGGCGGGUGAAGUAGCUGGUUGCCUAUUAAUUGUUGUUUGAGUUGUAUAUAAAACCAAUGCUUUGAAACUUCCGAAUUCCGUCAAAGAAACUCAAAGUAAAGUGGGCUUGGAGAGGUUCCUGAGGCAUCAUAAUAGUAAAGGGUGACUUUUGCAGUGGUUGUUUAAGCAUUGACUUGAUUUUUAUUUUCAAAUAAUCGAUUAUGAAUGAAAAGGAAUGGAGUGAAUAAUCGAUUAUGGUGUAAAAUAUAGUGGAUAAUCAAUUAUCUGGUAUGUGUUUUUGGAGCAUAAUCGAUUAUGUUAGAAUAGUCGAUUAUGUUGGUUUUUUAGGUGUAUAAAUAAUUGAUUAUGUGUCUGAAAUGCUUGGAUAAUCGAUUAUGUUGUUUUUAUAACGCAUUGCUUAAUCGGUUAUGUUAAAGUAUUUUCCAAAAUUUUAAUUUUUGUGUUGCUUAAUUUUUUUUUUCAGGCACAGCUUUGUAGUCUUUUCUUGUAUUAGUAUUCUUCAUCCUAGUUGAUUUGAUCUUCCUUUGCUGGUGUUCAGGUUUUUUUUUUAUUUGUGGUUUAGAUUUAUAUUAUUUUUUUUAUGAUUAUAGUUUUGUAAUUAAAUUUGUUUAGGGUUUAUAGUAGUGAUUUAUGUUAAUAAGUUAGUAAAUUAAUUUUGCCUGUUAAGUUGUUUUUCAUUUAUUAUUGUUUUUUUUUUAGAUUUUAAUUUUAUGCAGAAUUUUUUUAUUUUAAAUAAUAUGUGUAGAUAGUAAUUAUUUUUAUAAGAUUUAAUUAUUUAUAAGAAAAAUAUUUAUUUAUUUAAAAUGAAUAUUUUUAUAAAAUGGAAAUAGAAAUUUGUAAUGUGUAGGGUUUUUUUUUUAUAUUUGACAUAAAUUGUUAAUGUUAUAAUAAUUAAAAAAAAUGAUUUUUUAAUAAUAAAUGUAGAAAGUUAUUAUUUUUGAAAAAUUGAAUUAUUUAUAAAAAAUAGAAUUUUUAUUUAAAAAUAAAUUCUUGACAGAAUGGAAAUAAAAAUUUAUAAUGUUUAGGGUUUUAAUUUUUUUAGAUUUAACAUAAAAAAAUGUAGUAGUAAUUAAAAAAAACAGUAAAAGUUUAGAGAAGAAAUAUGAUUUUUUAAUAAUAAAUGUAGAUAGUUAUUCUUUUUAGCUUGUUGUAUUCUGCAUAACUUUCUUUGUGGGGUCGACAAUGAUGAGUCUUUGUUUAAAGAAGUAGAUCAUGAAUUGUUACAAGAAGAUGUACAACUAACCUCUACCCAUGCUCGUGAUUCUAGGCUAGGGUGUCAUAUUAGAGACACUAUAGCAAACAAAAUGUGGCAAGAUUAUGUAAACAAUUAAUUUGCUUAAAGAAAUAUAUUUUCUCUUUUGUUCCAAUGUUUGUUAUCCUAACUUUAUUUAAGUAAAUCAGAUGGAAUGUUGCUUCAGAUUCAUCAGGUGGUUUGAGAGAGUUCACUAGGUGGACGACAGAGAUGGACCUAAUUAUGCUAAAUGCAAUGAUUGAACAGGUCCGUCGAGGUUGUAGAAUUGACAGAAGUUGGUCCAAUCAAGGAUAUACUAACAUUGUUAUGGCUUUACACGAGACUGGAUUAUCGACGAUUAAGAAAAAUCAUGUAAAAAAUCGUCAAGGACAAGUGGAGGGAAUUACAUGACUUGUUCAGUGGAUUGAGUGAUUUUGCAUGGAACCAAACAUUUUGAAGCGGAGGACGAAGUUUGGAAUGACUUGAUCAAGGUACGAUGAUAAGUAUAUUUUACAACAAAUACAUUUGAUUACAUAUUGGGCAUAAUGUACUAACAUGUCACAUGUAUUGAGGUCAAACCAUCUGCGACAAAAUGGCGUGUGAAUCUCAUUCGCAUUAUAACCUAAUGGAUGAGUUGUGGUCUAAUGAUAGAGCCACAGGAAGUCGGGUCAGGACAACCCAUGACAUCAAUUCACAUCCGGACAUAAAUAAUUUCAGUGUCAACCUUGACGACAAUAAUAUGAAUUAUAUACCCGAGCAACCCAACUUUGAAAAGGCAGAUGACUACGUCCCACGAUCACCUACUCCUCAUAUUCAAUCAAGUGACACUCCUUCUAUGCCUUCUGCGGGCACAUCCUCAUCUUGAGGUUAAAAAAGAAAAGGGCCCACCAUGGACUAAAUUGAUGAAUAUUUUGCUUUGUUAAAUACAAAGCUCCAACAAUGUGUUUCAUCAAUGAACGAUGAAAAUCAGAAUGCCUCUGACUUGGUUGACAUUGCUCGUGCACAAGCAAUCUUAACACAAGAUAUAGCUGCGGAAAUUAGACGAAGAAACGACUUAUAUGUUGAGCAUGUACACCAUCAUCGUACCAGUACUCUGAGUCUAAUAUUUGGGCAAUGCUGGUGGAGCUUAACAUUUAGGAUGAACAGGUCAUGGAUCAAUGCUACGAGUUUUCAUGUGAGCAUAUUGGAAAAGUUAAGCAACUAUUUGGGAUGUCAUCAUAUGAGCGUCGCAUGACAAAGUUGUUUGCAUUUAUGACUAGGCGUUAUAUCUCUGCGUCGGUGUUACCUUCAUGUCUUUCAAUUACAUGUUGUCCUUUGACUUAUUAUGUAAUUUGUUUAUUAUUAGACAAUUAGGAUAAGAACUUUUAAUAUUCUACCUUACGACUUUUAGUAUUGUAUUUUCAUUGGUCAUGUAAUAUUUUCUUUGUGAAGUUGUACUAUUGUGUUUCAUAACUCCUACCAUUAUGUUUAUGGUAUUAUGUUAACUUUUGCUUACUUAUAUAUUGUAGUAAUUGUAUCAUACAUGGCAUCAUCAUCCUAGAAACGUAACAGAACUCAUAAGGGUAAAGCCCCAACAGAAGAUGUUGCAAUUCCUCCUCAGCCAACAACGAGGAUUGAACAAGUUCUUGAUUAUUCAAGAUACUUUAGUACAAGACGUCAAAUGCUGGUGUUUGAAAAAAGGUUUCACGCAAGACCAGUAUUAUUACCAAAAGCUAUGCAUAUUCCUCGGUAAUCAUAUUGCAUUCAAAACAAUAUGAUUAUUUAAAUAAGUAGCAUAAAACCUUAAUAUUAAAUAACAAUUUGUCAAUGUUCAACGUCAAAAAUAACAAUUCAUUAAUGUUCGACAUGAAAAUUAUAAAUAAAAAUAACAAUAACAUAAUGAUAAUACAAUCAAUGACUUUGAUGAUGUCGAAUGUCAUUCAGAGUAUCCUCAAUUCGGUUCAUCCUUUGAUCAAUCAUGCCAAUGCGAAUAUUCAUGUUAUGUAUCCUAGACAAAAUUUGGGUUAACAGUUCGAUUUGAUUGGAGAUUACCGGCUCAGGUUGACCAUCUUGUUCUGACAAUUGAUCCUCUUCAUCAUUUUCUUCGUCUGACUAGUGAGGCCUACCAAGUUGCCAUACGCCAUUGAUCUGGAAUAUAUUUAAUUUUAUCAUACUAUUUUUUUCAAAGUAAUGAUCACAUCCUAACAUCAUUGCUUGUUCAUUCGACAAGUCAAAGCCUCUGUUUUGAAGCGGAUGACGAAGAUUUGUAGUCAACAAAGCAAAAUGUUCAUCAUUUCCGUCCAUGGUGGGCCCUUUUCCUUUUCAUCCUCGAGAUGAGGAUGUGCUCGUAGGCCCCGCAGAAGGCAUAGAAUGAAUGUUUGAGUGAGGGAAUGUCAUUUGAUUGAAUAUGAGGAACAGGUGACCGUGGUACGUAGUCAUUUGCCUCUUCAAAGUUGGGUUGCUAGGGUAAAGAAUCUAUAUUAUUAUCAUCAAGGUUGACAAUAAAAUUACUUAUGUCUGGAGAUAAAUUGAUGUUAUAGGCUGUUCUGACCCAACUUUCGGUGGUUCUGUCAUUAGACCACAACUCUUCCAUUAGAUUAUCAUGGCGAAAGGGAUUGACACUCCAUUUCGUCGGAGAUGGUUUGACCUACAUUAAUGUCACAUAUUAGUACAUUAUGGCCGAAUGUGCAGUGAAAUCUAUUACAUUUAACAUAUACUUAUGAUCGUACAUUGAUCAAGUCAUUCCAAACUUCGUCAUCUGCUUCAAAACAGAGGCUUCAACUUGUCAAAUGAAUAAGCAAUGAUGUUACGACGGAAUCAUUAAUUUGGGAAAAAGAGUAUGACAAAAUUAAAUAUAUUCCAGGUCAAUGGCGUAUGACAACUUGGUAGGCCUCACCAGUCAAACAAAGAAAAUGAUGAAGAGAAUCAAUUGCCAGAACAAGAUGUUGAAGGUGGUCAACUUGAGCCGACAAUCCCCAAUCAAACUGAACUGUUAACCCAAAUUUUGUCUGGGAUACAUAACAUGAAUAUCCGCAUUGACAUGGUUUAUCAAAGGAUGGACCGAAUUGAGGAUACUCUAAAUGACAUUCGACAUCAUCAAAGUCAUUGAUUGUGUUACCAUUAUGUUAUUGUCAUUGUUAUUUUUAUUUAUAAUUUUCAUGUUGAACAUUAAUGAAUUGUUAUUUUUGACGUUGAACAUUGACAAAUUGUUAUUUAAUAUUAAUGUUUUAUGCUACUUAUUUAAAUAAUCAUAUUGUUGUGAAUGCAAUAUGAUUACUGAGAAGUAUGCAUAGCUUUUGGUGAUAAUAUUGGUUUUGCGUGAAACAUUUUUUCAAACACCGGCAUUUGACGUUUUGUACUAAAGUAUCUUGAAUAAUCAAGAACUUGUUCAAUCCUCGUUGUUGGCUGAGGAGAAAUUGCAACAUCUUCUGUUGGAACUUUACCUUUAUGGAUUCUGUUACGUUUCUAGAAUGAUGAUGUCAUGUAUAAUACAAUUACUACAAUAUAUAAGUAAACAAAAGUUAACACAAUACCAUAAACAUAAUGGUAAAUGUUAUGAAACACAAUAAUACAACUUCACAAAGAAAAUAUUACAUGACAAUGAAAAUACAAUACUAAAAGUCCUAAGGUAAAAUAUUAAAAGUUCUUAUCCUAAUUGUCCAAUAAUAAACAAACACAGACAAAUUACAUAAUAAGUCAAAUGAAAUAAAAGGACAACAUGUAAUUGAAAGACAUGAAGGUAACGCCGACGCAGAGAUAUAAUGUCUAGUCAUAAUUGCAAACAACUUUGUCAUGCGACGCUCAUAUGACAUCCCAAAUAGUUGUUGAACUUUUCCAAGAUGCUCACAUAAAAACUCGUAGCAUUGAUCCAUGACCUGUUCAUCCUAAAUGUUAAGUUCCACCAGCAUUGCCCAAAUAUCAGACUCAGAGUACUGGUACGAUGAUGGUGUACAUGCUCAGCAUAUAAGUCAUUUCUUUGUCUAAUAUCCGCAGCUAUAUCUUGUGUUGAGAUUGUUUGUGCACGAGCAAUGUCAACCAAGUCAGAGGCAUUCUAAUUUUCAUCCUUCAUUGAUGAAACACAUUGUUGAAGGUUUGUAUUUAACAAAACAAAAUGUUCAUCAAUUUCGUCCAUGGUGGGCCCUUUUCUUUUUUUAUCCUCGAGAUGAGGAUGUGCCCGCAGAAGGCAUAGAAGGAGUGUCACUUGAUUGAAUAUGAGGAUCAAGUGACCGUGGGACGUAGUCAUGUGCCUCUUCAAAGUUGGGUUGCUCGAGUAUAUAAUUCAUAUUAUUGUCGUCAAGGUUGACACUGAAAUUAUUUAUGUCCGGAUGUGAAUUGAUGUCAUGGGUUGUCCUGACCCGACUUCCUGUGGCUCUAUCAUUAGAUCACAACUCAUCCAUUAGGUUAUAAUUGCGAAUGGGAUUGACACGCCAUUUCGCCGCAAAUGGUUUGGCCUCAAUACAUGUGACAUGUUAGUACAUUAUGCCCAAUGUGCAGUCAAAUGUAUUUGUUGUAAAAUAUACUUAUCAUCGUACCUUGAUCAAGUCAUUCCAAACUUCGUCAUCCGCUUCAAAACGUUUGGUGGUUUGGUUCCAUGCGUAAUCAAUCAAUCCAUCGAACAAGUCAUGUACUUCCCUCCACUUGUCCUGGAGGCUUUUUUGACGAUUUUUUACAUGAUUUUUCUUAAUCGCCGAUAAUGCAGUCUCGUGUAGAGCCAUAACAAUGUUAGUAUAUCCUUGACUAGUACAACUUCUGCCAAUUCUGCAACCUCGACAGACCUCUUCAAUCAUUGCAUUUAACAUAACUAGGUUCAUCUUUGUCGUCCACCUAGUGAACUCUCUCAAACCACCUGAUGAAUCUAGAGCAACAUUCUUCCCGCGAUCCAUUAAUUUACUUAAAUAAAGUUAGGAUGACAAACAUUGGAAGAAAACAGAAAAUAAAUUAUUUCAUCAAAUUAAUUGUUUACAUAAUCUUUCAUUUUGUUUGCUACAGUGUCUUUAAUAUGACACCCUACCCUAUAAUCAUACUCACGAGCAUAAGUAGAGGUUGGUUGUACAUCUUCUUGUAACAAUUCAUGAUCUACUUCUUCAAUCAGAGACUCAUCAUUGUCGACUCCGCAAAAAAAGUUAUGCAGAAUACAACAACCUAAAAAAAAUUUUGUCAUAGUAUCGACAUCAUAAUGUGGCUCAGUCCCACUCCCUAUAAUUGGAAAUCGUUUUUUCAACACCUCAAAUGUUCUCUCAUUUACAUUUCUAAGUGAUGAAUUUCAAUAAUUAAACAACUCUUUAGCAUUUUGUGGCCCUCUUCGCAAAUAUUCUUUCAAAUGGUAUCUAAUCCCGCGAUAAGGUGUUAUUAUAUUUGGUUUUAACACAAAAUCUACAUCACCAAGAUAGUAUUUUCUUACAAAGAUAGUGGAAAGUUGCGUUAUUAUAUACUAUUAUAACCUAUUUAUUGUUGUGCACACCCAAUCUCCUAAAAGUAACCUUCUGGAAUAACCAAAUGAUUGUCUCGUACCAAAGCGUCUUUAAAUAUCCUUGAAUCUGAGGCAGUUCCUUCCCAACUGGUCAGGACAUAUGUGAACUUCAUGUCAAAGUCACAAGCUGCAAAUAUGUUUUGAGUUGGCCAUUCUUUUCUCCCUCCAAAACGAGGUGCAUCAGCACGUGCAACCUUAACACGUACAUGAGUCUUAUCUAUGGCCCCUAAACAAUCAUAAUGUAAACCAAAUUUCAUAAUUUUAAUUAAACACAAAAUAAAUAAAACAUUAUUUCUAAUUAUAAGAUUAAUAAUUUAUGUAAAACCUAAGAAAAAAAAGUAAACAUUAAAAGUUUAUAUUUUCAUUCUGUAAAAAUAUUUUCUAUAAAUAAAUAAAUCUAUUUUUUCUAUAAACAAUUAAAUGUUCAAAAAAUAAAAAUAUCUACACAUAUUUUAUUAAAAUUCAAAUUUCUUCUCUAACUUUUUCUGCCUUUUUUAAUUACUACAAUUUUUUUUAUAAUCUUUUGAAUAAUAAUAUUUUUAAAAUACAUAUUCAUAUCUAUAAUUUCAAUUCAUCUCACACAAAACAAAUAUUGAUAUUUCAUAAAAAAAUUUCUUUCCAAUAUACAAUUACAUAAACAACUUAUCACAAUAAUUAAUUUACUAAUAUAAUUAAUAAAUUUCUCCUAAAUAUUGACAUCUAAAAUUACAAACUAAUUAACAUGAAUAACUACUUUCAAAUAAUUUAAACAAAUUCAAUUCCAAACACAAUUUAAACAUAAAUAAAACAUACAUUUUUUAAAAAAAUCACAUACCUCAAGAGAGCACAACAAAAUCACAAGACAAUGCAACUGUCAGCAAGAUCAAAGUGUGCCUGAAAAAAUAUUCAAAAAAUAAUAAUCAAAAAAUCAAAAAUCUGGAAAAUCAUGAACAUAAUCGAUUAUCACUUUUCUUAAAAGAAGUCACAUAAUCGAUUAUCCAAACAUUUAAUAGGCAUAAUCGACUAUUCUUGAAGUUCAAAGUCUAACAUAAUCGAUUAUGGUAACAAAUAAUCGAUUAUGGUCAAAAUAACAAAGCUCUCAUAAUCGACUAUGAUUGCCAAAAAUUCUUAGAUAACCGAUUAUGUCACGACCAUAAUCGAUUAUCAAUUGUUUUUAACUACAUAAUCGAUUAUGUAGUGCGCUAUUUUGCAAUGAUAAUCGAUUAUGCUUGAAACUAAAAUGAAAAAAAAAAAACCUAACCCCAGGACAAACAUUAAGUACCAAACUCACUCUCUUACCUCCAUGCUUACUGAAGACCAUCUCCAAGCACCCUAUAACAAUGCAACUCUCUGUGUGAAGGCUAGACAGAUGUGGUGUUUGCUUAGCUUCGAAGGCCCUUAUAUAAUCGUGUAUCACAAUUAUGAUGCACCUACUCUCUCACCAACACACUCUUGCAUUCAUAUUCAUUCAAAUUGGUCAAAGAAAUUUCUACAUCGAAGUCAUGAAUCUCAUGCGUACUAACUGGCCAUUGUGGUGUUGUGGUGCGGUGCUUGCAAUAGCUGGUUCCAUGAAAAGUAAAAGGUUACUGUUGUGUAAUGUGAAUAAGGGCACCAUGGUCUUUCAACCAAUCUCAUGUGGUUUUCCAUGCUUUUCACUCUCCUUUCUCUUUAUAUUUCAGAUGACCCUCAAACCACUCUCAUUUCCAUUCACUCUCACACUCACCCUCUCCCUCUCACAGAACCAAACUGGGUGGUCACCCUAUAAUCCGUUCGCGCUAUAGGACCACCCCUUGAUCCAAACACUACAUUAGUGUGAGAGAAAGUGAAAAGUCAAUGAGGGUUAGAUAAAAAGAAGACGUGCCACAUGUCAACCGUAGAGCGAGCCACGUCGUGCAUUUUUUUUUAUUACUUUUGGUUAAAUUGUUUUUUAUUUAUUUCUUGCAAAAUUUCCAUGUGCUGACACAUGGCAAAAGUUGCCCUAGAAGUAUAUUCUACGUGUAUUAUAAAUAGAUUCCUUUAUUGUAUAACACCAUGUCAUUACAUCAACUAAAUAAACUCUAAUUACAAAAAACAAUUGUAAAAAUGUUACCAUUUAACAAAAUUCAUUAGUUCCAUUUCUUUUGAAACAUAUCCAUACAAGGAUUAUACGUAUAUAAAGAACUUAACAUUUAUAAACUACUAUAUAACUUCAGCCAUGCAUAAAGAUAAUAGUCACAAGCCUGAAGGCAUUGCAAAGUUGUCAAAUAGGAUAAAGCAGUACAAACCUAUCAAAUAAAUAGAUGUAACCUGAAAAGAGUAACAAAAUAUAAAGUUGAAAUUAGAAGAUUAAAUAAUGAAGCCUCAAAAUACCAGAACGAACAAAAGAGACAUCCCCAAACAUUCUUAUACCUAGAUUCACCAACCACUGACAACUAGUGCAUCCUUACCUAGAGUCAUUGUGUAGAAUGAGUACUAAUACAGAUUCUAAUGCUCACUUCUCAACUCUCCUAUUUAAGCUAGUUGUAACAACCUACCAAUGCUAGCUAACAAACUAUCCAACUAACUACUCUCUGGUCUUGCCAAUAGAGAUAACUAGUAGUUGAUGAUAGUCCAAAUUUUUAUAUAUCCAUGAAUUAAAGAAGCAGAAUGCACUAGUGACAAUUUUAAGCUAAACAAGCAUAAUAAAAGAUCUCUCAAUGCACCAUACCAGACUACUGAGCUUAAACAAAUUCUCUCAUUAAAACAAGAGGAAAACAAUCAAGAUAAAAUUCAACAGAAUUACUCUAAGCCAACAAAAUAUAGAACUUUUCAUUAAAUGUGGUGUGCUAUCAACAAAAAUAAAUAAACCAAUUUACUGAAAUGAAAAUCACCACUACAUGGAUUUAUAUACUUGAUCCAAAAUCAUUAUGCUAUAAGUCUGGCCAGAAGUCUCACCGUCAAGAACAAUAAAACUCAAUACUAACACAAAAAAGGCUAACAAAAAUCAGCAUUGAAAUAGAAAACUUGAAAGUUAGAACAAUCACCUGCAAAAUCCUUCCAAGAUUAUAUUACACUCUGUUGUUUGAUCAAACUGCUGUAGACAUCUCGCACUAUAGGCAAAUCUGUCUGAAAAUUGACAACAAAUUUCUUCAAAAAAGUAUUUUCAUUUAUGCAAAUAAAGGAACUAAAGGGAAAAUUGUUCUCAA
This 17535-nucleotide long non-coding RNA is filed under the name Phaseolus vulgaris (common bean). RNAcentral's name for it is "long non-coding RNA (PVUL_LNC002553)". The record is from RNAcentral. Lineage: Eukaryota; Viridiplantae; Streptophyta; Magnoliopsida; Fabales; Fabaceae.